AUUCACUUUAGCAGAUCUUCAUGUGCUCAGCCUCUAUGCCAAGGCCUGUGAGGGCUUCAAAAGGAGGACACAUGGGUUGGUUAAGUUUUCCAGUAUCAGCUCUUCAGAGAGCCUGGCCUUCACCACCCAAGCAGACACCCUCCCCCAUGCCCACCCUCAUCAUUCUCUGAAUAAGAGUCUCGCUCUGUUGCCCAGGCUGGUGUGCAGUGGUGUGAUCUUGGCUUCCUGCAACCUCUGUCUCCCAGGUUCAAGCAGUUCUCCAGCCUCGGCCUCCUGAGUAGCUGGAAUUACAGGCAUGUGCAACCACAUUCAGCUAAUUUUUUGUAUUUUUAGUAGAGAUAGGGUUUCGCCAUGUUGGCCAGGCUAGUUUCAAGCUCCCAGCCUCAGGUGAUCUACUCUCCUCAGCCUCCCAAAGUGUUGGGAUUACAGGCAUGAGCCAUCACGCCUGGCCGACAUGACACAAGUUCUGAGAGGGCAGAGAUCUCAUCUGUCUUCCUCACUGCUGUGUCCCCCAGCAACUUAGCAUAGUACUUGGCACAGAAAGCUCUGAAUAAAAAUUGCUGACUGACUGAAUGAGUAAAUGGAUGUCUCCAGAACCUAGCAAUGCCUACCACAUGGUAGGCGCUCCAUGAACCUUUUCUCAUAAUGAAUGAAGUCAUCAAGAAAGGAGACAGGAUUUGACCUGUGAUGUGAGGAUGUGAGGUAAUGAUCGUGAAGUUCAGUCCACUCAAAAAGCACCUGAGGCCAGGUGCGGUGGCCUAUAGAGGGGCAUUCAACCUUUUGUCUGUACAGAACAGGCAUUUUUUUUUUUCUGGCAAAUGCUCCUUAAAACCAUGUGGGGGCUACUAAUCAUGAAGUACUUCAGAGGUAUGGCACAUGCUCAAGUUGAGUUAAUCAGUGUUCUUCUUUCUUCUGGGCACAUUGACUGGUCUCUAGAUAGGCACAAAGUCCCGCCCAGGUCAUUCAGUGUCUUUUUACCACUCAUUUUCAGACUCAAGCGGAAGAAAGAUAUUCCUUUUUUCUCUAGUCAGAGAGCUGCAAGGAUGUGUGCCCAAGGCAGCUAUGUCUUCAAAGCUGGUCUGAGAGGAUGAUGCCAACAGGCAGAAAUUCAAAGGCAGGGGAUGGUAAGCAAGCCCCAAUGGCCAAGGGCCAGAGGACUUUUUCAAGGCUUAACUGUUCAGCUUCAAAUCUGUGAGUGAAUCUUGUGUCUUAUCAUAAAUAACCUCCCUAAAAAACAAAAACUUAAGUGAUUAGGUUGAAUCUGAGAAUCCCAAGUAAUACAAAUAUGGGUAGGUGAACAGGAGUAGGGAUGAGCUUUUGGAUAAAAGCACGAAGGUUAGAUUAAAUAUGAUUUUUAGGAAAGUUCAUAAUGAAACGCUUAAAUGAUAGGUGUUUAUGACCUUCAGCCAAUGUAUAUUACUGCUAUCUCUAGUAUGACCCUCAUUUAUACAGUUAGCUUUUUCCAUUAAAAUAGGAAAUGGAAUGUGAUGACAUGAGGAAAUACUUAGGAUAUAAAACUAAGUGGAAAAAGAUAAAUAUGAAUACAGAUACAGCUAGAGUACAACUAUAUAGAGGACAAUGAUGCAGUGAAAUUGCACAGACUUAGAGUCAUGGAUUUUGAUUUGAAUCCAGUUUCAAUUUCCUAGGGUGUGAACUUGAGCAU
This 1663-nucleotide long non-coding RNA is filed under the name Homo sapiens (human). RNAcentral describes it as "HSALNT0018100". Lineage: Eukaryota; Metazoa; Chordata; Mammalia; Primates; Hominidae. The record is from RNAcentral.